Molecule: ribosomal RNA, 497 nt
Filed under: Imetescolex patriarchalis
Lineage: Eukaryota; Metazoa; Annelida; Clitellata; Crassiclitellata; Lumbricidae
Description: Helodrilus patriarchalis partial 16S ribosomal RNA
Rfam family: Bacterial large subunit ribosomal RNA
Source: RNAcentral
CAUUGCUUCUUGCCUCAACUAUAAGAAGUAAUUCCUGCCCAGUGACUCACGUUCAACGGCCGCGGUAUCCUAACCGUGCAAAGGUAGCAUAAUCACUUGCCCAUCAAUUGUGGGCUAGAAUGAAAGGAUCAACGAAAUAAAGACUGUCUCUAUAAGCCCUAUAAAAAUUAAUCUCUAACUGAAGAGUGUUAGAUUCUAUCGAAGGACAAGAAGACCCUAUAGAGCUUUAUUUUAAUAAAAAAUUUAAAUCUUUAUUGAAAUUCGGUUGGGGCGACCAGGGAAAUCAUUAAUCAUCCCUCUAUAAAAGAUUAAUAAAUCAUAUUUCUGACCCUUAACAAAGAUCACCAGAUAAGCUACCUUAGGGAUAACAGGCUAAUCUCACUAAAGAGUCCUUAUCAAUAGUGAGGGUUGGCACCUCGAUGUUGGCUUAGGGAAUCUAUACGACGCAAAAGUCAUAUAAAGAUGGUUUGUUCAACCAAUAAUACCCUACAUGAUCU